RNAcentral lists this ribosomal RNA (253 nucleotides) under uncultured bacterium. RNAcentral describes it as "partial 16S ribosomal RNA". It matches the Rfam family "Bacterial small subunit ribosomal RNA", at positions 524 to 776 of the family's 1533-position model. The record is from RNAcentral.
UACGGAGGGGGCUAGCGUUAUUCGGAAUUACUGGGCGUAAAGCGCACGUAGGCGGAUUUGAAAGUCAGAGGUGAAAUCCCGGGGCUCAACCCUGGAACUGCCUUUGAAACUCCAAGUCUUGAGUUCGAGAGAGGUGAGUGGAAUUCCGAGUGUAGAGGUGAAAUUCGUAGAUAUUCGGAGGAACACCAGUGGCGAAGGCGGCUCACUGGCUCGAUACUGACGCUGAGGUGCGAAAGCGUGGGGAGCAAACAGG